UGGCUCAGUGGUAGAGCACUUGCCUUGCAGGCAUGAGGCCUUGGGUUCGAUUCCUCA
Molecule: transfer RNA, 57 nt
Filed under: Dipodomys ordii (Ord's kangaroo rat)
Lineage: Eukaryota; Metazoa; Chordata; Mammalia; Rodentia; Heteromyidae
Rfam family: tRNA
About the family: Transfer RNA (tRNA) molecules are approximately 80 nucleotides in length. Their secondary structure includes four short double-helical elements and three loops (D, anti-codon, and T loops).
Source: Rfam by way of RNAcentral